GCCUACGGGGGGCAGCAGUAGGGAAUAUUGCUCAAUGGGGGAAACCCUGAAGCAGCAACGCCGCGUGGAGGAUGAAGGUUUUCGGAUUGUAAACUCCUUUUGUUAGAGAAGAUAAUGACGGUAUCUAACGAAUAAGCACCGGCUAACUCCGUGCCAGCAGCCGCGGUAAUACGGAGGGUGCAAGCGUUACUCGGAAUCACUGGGCGUAAAGAGCGCGUAGGCGGGAUAGCAAGUCAGAUGUGAAAGCCCAAGGCUCAACCAUGGGACUGCUUUGGAAACUGUAAAACUGGAGUGCAGGAGAGGUA
This 305-nucleotide ribosomal RNA is filed under the name uncultured bacterium. Its description in RNAcentral is "bacterial SSU rRNA". It matches the Rfam family "Bacterial small subunit ribosomal RNA", at positions 337 to 659 of the family's 1533-position model. The record is from RNAcentral.